UUUUUUUUUUUUUUUGUUUAUUUGGUUAUUAGACUAAGCUUAAAGUUUCCUUCAAACUUCCAACGUACCUUUAAAAAAGGAUCAAUUCAUAACAUAGCUCAACUAAGUAGAUUUAAGCAGCCUACGUACUUUGUACAAUAUAGGGGUCAAAUCAUAACAUAUUACAAUUAUAUGUUUCUUUUUUGUCGUUCACCUUUUAAGUUCAUGUGGGGCUAGGAGAGCACUAUGCAGUUUGGCCUCUUACAAUAAGGAGCUUUGCGUAUUUAGCAGCUCAUAUUUUCAUGAAGGAUUUGUUGAGUUUCUUCACUUAUAGGAUUGGUCAAUAUAAUAAGUCUUGACUUCAAAAUAAUCUUUUGUAUAUAUGUCAACAACUUUCUCUUCAUGCAUGAAGAGACACGACUGUAAAUUGGCUCAUCGUUGUUUUCUUCAUGAAAUAGUUUUACCUUCAAAAUUUUCAUCUUUCUUUCAUGCUGAUCGAUUGUCAUCUUUAGACAAUCAAAAGCAGAUGUUGAAGGUCAAUCUUUCUUUAACGUGAAUAUAUUUCAUCUUUUAAAAACUGAAGUUCAAGUAAACCUAGAAGUUGAAGCUUGGUUUUCCUCAUCUAUUGUGACCAUACUCAAUCUUUGAAAAAUUGAAGAUCAAGUGUUGAAGGCUUGAUAUGAUCGAAGAUAGAAGUUAUGUGCUCGAUUUCCUUUGAAUCGUCUCUUUCUUUAGCAUUUAUAUGGUUACUGUCAAAUUCUGCUAUGCUGACAGCAUGACUUCUAAUACUUAUCAUCGCAAAAGUUUCUUGGGAGAAAUUAUGCUAAAGUUACUAGUCGUUAAGGUUAGGGAAAUUCUUUAUCUUCUUCCUUAAGAAGUUUAGGCUUCCAUCCCCUUUAGUUUCUUUUCUUUAUUUGGCUCUUGUGCUUAUUCUUCUUUAAUAUGGUUGGAGAAACGACUUCUUUUUGGUGGAAUUUGACUUUUCUUUCUUUGGAUGUGUCACGAAGAUCAAUCCUUUGCCAUCAUCUUCAAUAGGCUCAUUUUUGUUUUGGGAGUCUGUAAUCUCGAGUUUUUGUUGGAAUCGAACAACUAUAGGUUCAAAGGUCUCAAACUGAAUCAAGGUUUCUUUUUUAUUGUAAGGCACAACAAAUGGUGGAACACUUGAAUUUAUCGCCACUGCACAUGAUUCGUCUGCCGUAUCUCAUUAAUAUCAAACUUAAUCUUCUUUUCACGAGCUAACUUUAGAAUCAACUCUUUCAGCAUGAAACACUUUUCAAUUGGAUGAUUAACUACUUGAUGAUACUUGGAGUAGUUAGAAUCAUUUACUUUUCCUUCUUGUUUCGAUCGUUUACAUUUUGACAAUUGAAUAAGUUGCUUUUCUAGCAGCUGCUUUAACAUGUCUACACCAUUAGAGUUAGGAAAUGGAUAAACUUUUUCCUAUCUUUCUUUCAAAGUUAGACAACGUCUCUCACCUCUAUUAUCUUCCUUUUCGAAUUUUUUCUUUUUCUUUAGGGAAAGAUUUUAAUGGAGUCACAUGAACAACUAUAGAUUAUUUUUUGACACUAUUCGUGAUUUUUUCAGUGUCGUCAUUGACUUCAUUCUUGUCAUUCCUUAUUUUUGAAACAAAAAAAUCUUUUGCUCUCCGGUUGGCAAUGCUUAGCUCUAGAUCAUGGACACAAGUUUUCAGUUCUUCAAAUGUACAAGGUUUUAUGCCUUGCAAAAUAUAUAGAGGCUCCUAGUGCAUGCCUUGGGUGCACAUCUCCACUACAGAUAGUUCAUUUAGUUUAUCUUUACAAUGUAAACUUAGAGCUCUCCAUUGAUUUACGUAAUGGCUCUCUCUUCCAGUGUUUGGUAUUUGUUAGCUUUUUCAUUCUAACGAUACGCCUAGUGUUAUAGAAGCAGUUUAGAAACUCUCUUUCUAAUGGUUUCCAAUUGUCAAUCACUUCGGGCUCUAGAUCGGUGCACCACUUGAAGACAUUUCCCUUUAAACGUAACUUUGAACAAACUGCCUGACUGGUUGGUCUCCUCUUGAUCCUGCGUUCUUGCUUGUUUCAAGAAAGUGGACAAUAUGUUGCUUCAGGAUGCCUUUUCUAUUGAACUGUUAGAACUUUGGAGGUUGGUAUCUAAAAGGCAUUCUCAGAUCAUCGAUUCUCUUGGUAUAUGGCUUGGAACAUAAAAGAAGCUUGUGGUGUUCCUCCAUACUGAGCCCUUAUGGAGCUUGUGAUCAUAUCCUGCCGUUGUUGGACUAACAGGUAGAUGACAAAGAUGGACUGUUGCGCUUGAUUUUUCUGUUGCACAACUUUUUCUUUGUCAUUAGCUUUGACAGUGGGAGUUUGGCUUGACUUAGAAGUUUCACAAGCCUUCAUUUGAUCUCUCAAGCCAACGAUUUCAUGAUCUCGCUCUUUGACAAGUUUCAUUAGGAGAUUUCUUUUCCUCUCUAUCUCUGCCAUGGCUGCCUCAGUUGUUACAUCUACCAUCAUGAUAGACACUACUUUAAGGUGUGAUUCUUUCUAUGAUAGAUCGAAAACAAGAGUAUAGUUGUCGAACAAAGGAUUCUCUCUGAUUACGAUUACGAUUCCACUUUUAGAAAAUUUCAUCAAUUGUUCUUGGAUGAUCCUCUUUGAGUGACUUCAAGUGUCAGGUCCCAUGCAAAAGUUGUUUGCAACAAUUUUUCUAGAUGCAAUUUUCUUUAGUGUUAUUGGUUGGUUUGUUGAUUUGGAUUUUGAUAGAAAGAUAUCCCACGGAACGUGUCAAUUUAUUUAAAAAAGAGUUUUAGAGAAACUUGUUUUGUGGAGUUGAUGUUGUAUUUGUGUUGAUUUGAUUAUAUGUGGUUCGAUCUCUAGUACUUGAUUUUAUAACUCUCUUUUCAGUUGAAUGCGUACACUUGAUUUGAAGAAGUGGAACACGUGAUGUUCUUGAAGUUGGAGUUUUGGAAGAAAGCUUGUAUCCACAGGAACUUUAACUUUCGAUUAUAGUCAACUUCAGAAGUUUAGGAGUUUUCUGGUUGUUGGGAGAACUCUCUCUAGACCUUAAUAAAAUUUUCUGAACCCCAUAAAUGAAGAGAAUUCAUCUAUUUACAGAGUUCUUAGGUGAGCAUUGUGGCCUAGAGCUUGGUUGAUCCAUGGAUCUGGCUCUCUAAGCCUAACCAUAUUAACUUGGGUCUUAUUUAGCAUUUGACUUAAAUUAAGCCUAUUUUUUUUGGGUUAAUUGAACUUUAGGCCAAAUAAUAACAUUUAAUUGGAUCAAAAUAGUUAAUUUCAUCCAACCAUUGUCAUGAAAACACUUUGCGUCAUUGUGAUGAAAAUAACCAGUUUGUGGUUUCAAUUUCAAUUUAGGACACAUAUCAUCUUUUAAUUUGUCCAAACUUUAACUAUUUAAGAAAUGUCACGAUAAUUUGUGAUUAGUCCAAAAUUUCUCAUUCAAGAGAUAUUCUUUUAUUAAUCAAAUAACAAAUGAACUUAACAAUAAAUUAGUUUACAUUAAAUGAAAUUGAUCCCUAACAUUUAGUUAGUAAUUAUUUGAUGGAAAUUUUUUAAAAAUAGUAGAAUUUAUAAAAUAUUUACAACCUAUAGCAAAUUCUAUCAUUGAUAGUCAUUGAUAUGUCAGAAGACUAUCGAUGAUAGAAUCCAAAAUUUUGCUAUAGCUUAUAAAUAUUUAAAUUUAUUUUUCUAUUUUUAAAAAUGCCCCAUAUUUAAUUUUAUGUUUUUCAAAUUAUUGAAUUGAAUACAAAUAUUUAAUUGAUAUUAAUUAUCAUGCACAUUCAAACAUAUACAUUAAUGGACUGACUAGGGAUAUAACAUUUUAAUAUAAAUUAAUUAAGGAUAUAGCAAAAGUUUAAAGUUUAAACAAAUUGCAAAUAUGGUAAAUCUUAAGUACAACACAAGGUUAAAGACCAAAAUGCCCCUACGCUAGGGAGAAGAUCCAUUUCACGCUUCCACCACUUCGUAUUCCGAUUUCAAAAUAGUCUUUCUACUAUUUCUUCAUCUUCCACUCCUGAUGCCUUCACGCUUCCGUCACUUCACAUUUUCCUUCCAUCUUCCACUUUCAUUUGGUCUUCGAUACCUUCCUUUCAUCGUCCACGUUGUUUUUGAUUUCUCCACUUCAUCAUCUAUAAACUUCGUUGCUUUUCGUUUGAAAUCCUAACUUAUUUUCGUUCUUCCUGUAUUUUUAUUUUCCAUUUGGUUGUAAUAUUUUUGAAAUAGAUUUUCUUUCGUUUUGUAUUUCUUUGAAAUCGAUUUCUUCAUUUCCUGUUUGGUUAUGCUCUGUUUGUUUUUCAAUUUGUGUGUUGUUACUCAAGUUAAAAUCUAUAAGUGAUAUGUUUAUAUCAUUGAUAGACUUGAGGGAUGUUUAGUUUGUUUGCAUUGAGAUGUUAGUAGAUGAUUUAGUUUAAUGUACAUUUUUAUGCGAUGUUGCUUAGGGUCUACCAAUGAUAUGUUUCUAUCACUGAUAGACUGGAGGAUGUUUAGUUUGUUUACAUUGGAAUGUUAGUGGAUACUUUAGUUUAAUGUACAUAUUUUAUAUGUUUUUGUUUAAUGUCUAUUAGUGAUAUGUUUCUACAACUUGAAGAAUGUUUAACUUCUUUGUGUUGAAUUUUUAGUAGAUGUUUUAGUUUAAUGUAUAGUUUUUAUGUGAUGUUACUUAGUGUCUAUCAGUGAUAUAUUUCAUCUUGAUAGACUUGGAUGACGCUUAACUUGUAAUUUGCGUUUGGAUGUUAGUAGAGGCUUUAGUUUAAUGUGCAUUUUUUAUGUGAUGUUGCUUAGAGUCUAUCAAUUCUAUGUUUCUAUCAUUGAUAGAUUUGGGAUUUGGAAGAUGUUUAACUUAUUUGCAUUGGGAUGUUAGUAGAUGUUUUAGUUUAAUGUGCAUUUUGUAUAUGUUAUUGCUUAUGCUCUAUCAGUGAUAUGUUACUAUUACCGAUAGACCUAGAUGAUGUUUAGUUUGUUUGCACUAGCGUGUGUUAGUAAAUAUUUUAGUUUGUGUAUUUAUUUAUGUAAUGUUUCUUAAAGGCUAUCAAUGUGUUCUAUCAUUGAUAGACUUGGAAUAUUCUGUUUAGCUUGUUUACAAUGGGAUGUUAGAAGAUACUUUAGUUUAAUGCACAUUUUUUAUGUGAUGUUGCUUAAAGGUUGUCUUUCAGUGAUUUGUUUUUAUCACUUAUAGACUUAGAGGAUGUUUAGGUUGUUUGCAAUGAGAUGUUAGUAGAUACUUUAGUUUAAUAUGCAUUUUUUUUUAUUUAUUGUUGCUUAGGGUCUAUCAGUGAUAUAUUUCAAUCGUUGAUAGACUUGAAAGAUGCUUAGCUUGUUUGACUUGGAAAGUUAGUAGAAACUUUAGUUUAAUGUGCAUUUUGUGUGGGAUGUUGCCUAUGGUCUAUCAGUGAUAUGUUUGUAUCACUGAUAGACUUGAGGGAUGUUAAGUUUGUUUGCAUUGGGAUGUUAGUAGAUAAUUUAGUUCUAUCAGUGAUAUGUUUUCAUGAACUUGAAAGAUGUUUAAUAUGUUUGUGUUGGGAUUGUUAUUAGAUGUUUUAGUUCAAUGUCAAUUUUUUUAUUUGUUGUUGCUUAUUAAGGGUUUAUCGGUGAUAGAUUUCAAUCAUUAAUAGACUUGGAAAAUGUUUAGCUUGUUUGACUUGAAAAGUUGGUCGAAGCUCUAGUUUAAUGUGCAUUUUUUUGUGUAGGAUGUUGCUUAUGGUCUAUCAGUGAUAUGUUUCUAUCACUGAUUGAUAGGUUUGGAGUAUGUGGAACUUGUUUAUGUUGGGAUGUUUAACUUACUUCUUCGACAUGCUAAUCUGUUUUAAGUUUGUGUGUUGUUGCUUAGGGUUAUGGUCUAUUAGUAAUACGUUUGUAAUAGUGAUAGACUUGAGGGAUGUUUAGUUUGUUUGCAUUGGGAUGUUAGUAGAUAAUUUAGUUUAAUGACAUUUUUAUGUAUUGUUGUUUAGGUUCUAUCAGUUUUAGUUUAUGUGCAUUUAUUUAUGUGAUGUUUCUUAAAGACUACCAAUGAUAUGUUCUAUCAUUGAUAGACUUGGAAUAUGUUUAGCUUGUUUGCAAUGAGAUGUUAGGAGAUACUUUAGUUUAAUGUGCAUUUUUUAUGCGAUGUUGCUUAAAGGUCUUUCAAUGAUUGGUUUCUAUCACUUAUAGACUUAAAGGAUGUUUAGCUUGCUUGCAAUGGGAUGUUAGUAGAUAUAUACUUUAGUUUAUUGUGUAUUUUUUAUGUGUUGUUACUUACGGCCUUUUAGUGAUAGGUUUCUAUGACUAAUAGACUUGAAAGAUGUUUAGAUUGUUUCCAUUAUAAUAUAUAUUUAUAAACCCUAAUUCAAUAUUAUCAUUUCAGGUCAUUCAAGAAAAGAAAAGAAAAAUGAAAACUAUGGAAAUAGCGAAAAAUGUUAAAAAUGUUAGGACACCAAAGAGACAACUUAACUGAUCAAAUAAAAUGUUGGAGAAUGCAAAAGACUAAAACAUUGCUGGAGAAUGAUUCAUCUGUUCCUAGUUUUGAUUUGCAACUCUCUCAUUGAGUAAAUGAAUAUUGUACUAUAUUAAUUUUGUGGAUAUUUCAUGAUAGAAUAGAUUAAUGAUAAACUUCACAUUUUAUUUGAUUUUAUUCUUUUGAUAUAGAAAAGUGUUGAAUCAUAGGUUGAAUAUCGCAAAUUUAUAUUCUUAAAUAGUCUGAUUCUUCAAUGAAUGUUAAAGUUUAUUAAUAAUAAACCAUAAGAGUAAAAUUUGUUGUUGUCACAUUACCUCUUCAUAUUUAGUUAUGCGCCUUAUUGAGAAAUUAGUAUUAUUGAUGUUGAAUCCUUGCAAUUUGGUAUUAGUGUGAGCAUUUUAUUGAGAAAAAGUUUUGUUAAUAUAAUGAAUCCUAUGAAUCAAAUUAAAUCGAUACAAUCAACUCCCAGUUUGCAAAGUAGCCCGUUUCCCGCUCUUAUAAAACGGCAGAAACAGGCAUCGAAAAUUUUUGGAGUGCUCAAAAUCCCAUAUCAAUAGAUUCAUUACUUCAAUGAUUUUUAAUCUAUGCUUCUUCGAAGGAAUGGAUCUGGAAGUAACAUAAUGAAAGAUCUCCACGUUCUUUUCAACCCAAGGAUCGCUUUUUUCAGUUCAAUGUUUUCUUCAUCAUCACCUCCGAUUUCAUUUCUGGAAACCCAUUUCAUCGAUCUAAUUCAUGCGUCCAAUUCAACCCACAAGCUCCGUCAGAUCCAUGGUCAACUCUAUCGCUGCAACGUCUUCUCCAGCAGCCGGGUUGUGACCCAGUUCAUCUCUUCCUGUUCUUCGCUAAAUUCUGUCGACUAUGCCAUUUCCAUCUUUCAGCGGUUCGAGUUGAAGAACAGUUACCUUUUUAAUGCGUUAAUUCGAGGACUCGCUGAAAAUUCCAGGUUCGAGAGCUCAAUUUCUUUCUUUGUUUUGAUGCUAAAGUGGAAAAUUAGCCCUGAUAGGCUUACUUUUCCGUUUGUGCUGAAAUCAGCGGCGGCUCUUUCCAAUGGUGGCGUUGGGAGGGCUUUGCAUUGUGGGAUUUUGAAGUUUGGUCUUGAGUUUGAUUCUUUUGUGAGGGUUUCGUUGGUUGAUAUGUACGUGAAAGUUGAGGAGUUGGGUUCUGCCUUGAAGGUGUUUGAUGAAAGUCCUGAGAGUGUUAAGAAUGGAAGUGUGUUGAUUUGGAAUGUUCUUAUUCAUGGGUAUUGUAGAAUGGGGGAUUUAGUAAAAGCUACGGAGCUAUUCGACUCAAUGCCGAAGAAGGACACGGGAUCUUGGAACAGUUUGAUCAAUGGUUUCAUGAAAAUGGGGGACAUGGGUCGAGCAAAGGAACUGUUUGUUAAAAUGCCUGAAAAAAAUGUUGUUUCUUGGACCACAAUGGUGAAUGGAUUUUCACAGAAUGGAGACCCUGAAAAGGCACUGGAAACUUUCUUUUGUAUGCUUGAAGAAGGCGCUCGGCCAAAUGAUUACACAAUUGUCUCCGCACUUUCAGCUUGUGCAAAAAUUGGUGCAUUAGAUGCUGGUUUAAGGAUUCAUAAUUAUCUUUCAGGCAAUGGUUUCAAACUAAAUCUAGUUAUUGGAACUGCUCUGGUGGAUAUGUAUGCAAAAUGUGGAAAUAUUGAGCAUGCAGAAAAAGUGUUUCAUGAAACAAAAGAAAAGGGCCUUCUUAUUUGGAGUGUUAUGAUCUGGGGCUGGGCAAUCCAUGGACAUUUUAGGAAAGCCUUACAAUACUUUGAAUGGAUGAAGUUUACAGGUUUGAUUUCAUAUUGUGAUUGUUAUCUCUGAGUUUAAUAUUUUGCUGUUUAUAAACUCAAAUCUCAGCAUGUUUGCAGGAACAAAGCCAGAUAGUGUGGUCUUUCUUGCUGUUCUUAACGCAUGCUCCCAUUCUGGACAAGUAAACGAAGGACUUAAGUUUUUCGACAAUAUGAGGCGCGGCUACUUGAUUGAACCUUCUAUGAAGCAUUACACAUUGGUUGUAGACAUGCUAGGCAGGGCUGGCAGACUAGAUGAAGCUCUAAAGUUCAUACGUGCGAUGCCCAUAACUCCUGAUUUUGUGGUGUGGGGUGCUCUAUUUUGUGCAUGUAGGACUCAUAAGAAUGUUGAAAUGGCAGAACUAGCAUCCAAAAAGCUUCUUCAGCUUGAACCCAAGCAUCCGGGGAGUUAUGUAUUUUUGUCAAACGCAUAUGCUUCAGUAGGGAGAUGGGACGAUGCGGAGAGAGUGAGAGUUUCUAUGCGAGAUCACGGUGCACACAAAGAUCCAGGAUGGAGCUUUAUUGAAGUGGAUCAUAAAUUACAUAGAUUUGUGGCUGGAGAUAACACUCAUAACCGUGCUGUAGAGAUAUACUCAAAAUUAGAUGAGAUAAGUGCAAGUGCAAGGGAAAAGGGAUACACGAAAGAAAUUGAGUGCGUACUUCAUAAUAUUGAAGAGGAAGAAAAGGAAGAAGCAUUGGGAUAUCACAGUGAGAAGUUGGCACUUGCUUUUGGGAUCGUCAGUACGAGGCCCGGAACGACUGUUAGGAUAGUGAAAAACCUUAGAGUUUGUGUGGAUUGCCAUUCUUUCAUGAAAUAUGCCAGUAAAAUGAGUAAGAGGGAGAUCAUUUUGAGGGAUAUGAAGCGAUUCCAUCAUUUCAAUGAUGGUGUUUGUUCAUGUGGAGAUUAUUGGUAAAGAAUUGUUGAUCAGAGAGUGGAACUGCGGAUGCUUUCAAGAACACAUACAAACUAACAAUUGCAGCCUCUUUGCAUUAACGGUUUGAUGCCCUAAAAACAAUAAUGGCUUCUGAGAAGUAAAAGAUCCCUUAAUCAUCCAAGUUCUUGACUGCCGAUAUGAUUCUAUGCACAUCUCAUUUUGAUCUCACUGCAGGUGAACAACAUUGUCCGCACUUUCACAAAAAAAAAAAAAAGAAGUGUUGAUUUAUGUAUGUAUGUAUGUAUGUAUGUAUGUAUAUAUAUAUAUAUAUAUGUAUGUAUGUAUGUAUGUAUAUAUAUAUGUAUAUAUAUGUAUGUAUGUAUGUAUCAAUAUGUAUGUAUGUAUGUAUAUAUAUGUAUGUAUGUAUGUAUGUAUAUGUAGAUAUAUAUGUAUGUAUGUAUGUAUAUAUAUAUGUAUGUAUGUAUAUAUAUGUAUGUAUGUAUGUAUGUAUAUGUAGAUAUAUAUGUAUGUAUGUAUGUAUAUAUAUAUGUAUGUAUGUAUAUAUAUGUAUGUAUGUAUGUAUCUAUAUGUAUGUAUGUAUAUAUAUAUGUAUGUAUGUAUGUAUAUAGAUAUAUAUGUAUGUAUGUAUAUAUAUGUAGAUAUAUAUGUAUGUAUGUAUGUAUAUAUGUAUGUAUGUAUGUAUAUAGAUAUAUGUAUGUAUAUAUAUAUAUGUAUGUAUAUGUAUGUGAAUAUAUAUAUAUAUAUAUAUAUGUAUGUAUAUGUAUGUGAAUAUAAAUUAAUUUCUUUUCCCAACUACUGCUCUCUCCCUCCCUUUCUUCACAUCAGAUUCACCGCCUCUCUCUCUUCCUUUCGACACUCUCCCUUUCACCUCACGGCUAACUCACCUUUAAACAUACAAGUUUGUUCGAUUUCAAAAACCAAACAUACAUAGUAAUAAAAAUUAUUUAUUAAAUAUCGCAAAAAUUAUCUAAUUUUUUAUAAUUUAUUUAAGUUUUAUUUUUGUUAUAUUUUGUUUAUAGAUUCGGAAUAUUUUUCCUAUUUUCUUAUAAGUUCAUAAAUUCUUAAUUAUCACUCCCCACCAUUAAAGUUCUAACCUAAUAUUCCACACAAAAGGACAAACGCCAAGAAAGAAAGGGAAUGUAUCCAAUUCAUGAAUUUAUCUCCAUACAUGCAUCUGUAACUCAUGCACUAGUCUAUACAUGCAUCUGUAACUCAUGCACUAGUCUUUCCUAAACUGCAAUUCCAGAUCUGAAAUUUAAAUGGAAGAAUAGACAAACAGAGCACCAAGCAGCAAGGGCGGCAAUGGUGGUACUCUAUGUAAUAGCCGUUAUUUGCUUCUUCAUUUUUCUUCACCUCUUCGAAUCGCUAUUCUUGAAACCGGAAAGACUACGAUCGAAGCUCCGUCGACAAGGAAUCGACGGUCCUUCCCCUUCUUUCUUCCUCGGAAACAUACCGGAAAUUAAGAACAUUAGAAGCUUAAAAUCAUUCGAUGAAAAAGAAGAUUCGAUUGCUCAUGGCUGGUCUUCCAAUCUGCUUCCCCAUUUGGAGCACUGGCGGUAUCGAUACGGUAAUUUCUUUAUCUUUAUGUAUAUUAGAUGAUUCCCUGUAGAACUAAUGGUAGGUAUUUAGCUAAACUUGGGUUUGUAAUAAGAGGAGAAGCAACAUAUUAUUAGGGCGUUCAUUUUUCUUUUAUCUUUUAGAAAAUUUCAUUUUUAGUUUGGAUGAAUACGAGUGUGUUUGGUCCACUCCUCUAACAUUUUAGCUCUCAUGUUUAUCAAAUUAAUUAGUGUUAGAAUUUUCAUAAUCUACUUUUUUAGUUUAUGAAUUUCUAAAAAUAAGCUUAUGCGGACUCAUAUUUAAAAUCAGAAAAAUUAGUUUGAAGGAAAAUAAUUUUUUAAUUUAAAAGGUCAUUGAAUAAAAUCAAGACUAUUUUUAAAAACUUGAAAGGCUAAAAGUGUAUAUUUUUAAAAUUCAGAAACCAAACACUUAUUUUUCCAAACUUUAGAACCAAAGAAGGUAAUUUUUUUUUCUUUGAAAUUUAAGAUAAAAAAGACUAGGGUAAACAUGUUGAAACCAAAAUGGGGAUGAAAAUGGAAGAGUGAAAAUUAAAAAGGGUGUCUGAGGAUGAAAUAUUAGUGAUUGGUGGAUUUUAGGAAGAAACUUCGUGUAUUCGAGCGGGACGGUUCAAAUAUUGUGCAUAACAGACGUUGAGAUGGUGAAGGAAAUUGGUAUGUCAACCAAUUUAAGUUUGGGAAAGCCUGCCCACUUUUCAAAGGAUCGUGGGCCGUUAUUGGGCCUUGGCAUUUUGGCAUCAAGUGGCCCACUUUGGGUCCACCAAAGGAAAACUAUUGCUCCUCAACUCUAUCUUGAUAAAGUCAAGGUAAAAUAUCAUUUCUUCAUACUCCACUUUUUUUUUUCUUCUUUUUCUUUUUUUUUUUCACUUUGGUUUAUCAAUUUUCAAUUUUGUAUAUGGUUGAUUUAUGAAUUUUAGAAAUUUCAAAUGUUCCGAAUCUUAUUUUUUAACGACUUAUUUUCAAAAUUAAACACUUGAAAAGUUAAAUCAAACCUAUCUUAAAUUUGUAGUUUGAAAGUUUUGGUCCAUUCAUAAACUAAAUUUAUAGUUCAAGUCGAUCAGCUUGACAUGAAAUUAACUAUUGGGUCAAAAUAAUUCGAUAAAAUUUAUUCUCAUUUGUAGUUUAACAGGGAAAGACAAUUAAUUGAUUUUUGGGGCUAAUUAUUCAACAUAUACAAGAGAAGAUAACUGAGAUAUCUUUGAAUCAAUAGGACAUGACAAAUCUUAUGGUGGAAUCUGUAAACUCUAUGGUAAAAUUAUGGGAAACCAUAAUUGAAAAUGGUGGAGGAGAAUCAGAAAUCAAUGUGGAUGGAUAUUUUAGAGCCAUGUCGGCUGAUAUUAUCUCGAAAGCCUGUUUCGGAAGUAAUUUUUAUGAAGGGAAAGAGAUCUUUCAAAAACUCAGAGCUCUUCAAAUUAUCAUGUCCACAGCAACCAUUGGUAUUCCUGGGUUCAGGUAUAUAUGUGGACAACUUGAUUCUCUUACUUCAAGAAAUAUAGUACAUGUUAAUUAUUGUUGUUGUUGAGCUACGUAGACCUUGACACUGAAACCCAUUAUCAAUAAUUUGAUUUAUAUUGUGUGCUUUAGUAACAGAUGUACAUUUUUGUAUGCUAGAUAUCUCCCCACCAAAAACAAUAGAGAAAUAUGGAAGCUUGAGAAGGAAGUAGAAUCAAUGGUUUUGGAUGUGGUAAACAAACGAAUCAAGCAGUGUUCAAACGAAAAAGACUUGUUGCAAAUAAUUAUCGAGGGUGGGAAAUGUCUUAAUAAAGACGGUAACUCGUUGAAGAUAUCUAGAGACAAGUUCAUUGUUGAUAACUGCAAAAACAUAUACUUUGCUGGCCACGAGACAACGUCAAUAACAACAACAUGGUGCUUGAUGUUAUUAGCAAUACACCAAGAUUGGCAAACUCGUGUUCGUUCUGAGGUGCUUGAAUGUUGUCAAGAUCGCACUCUCGACGUUGAGACCAUUAAGAACAUGAAAACGGUAUUCCUACUCAAUAAUAAUGCCCAAACUUUGAAUGACUUAUUGAGUUACAAAGAAUUCAAUUCUUAUUAUCUUAAAUAAUUAAUUUCUUAUUGUCUCUUGCAGUUGACAAUGGUGAUUCAAGAGACACUUAGGCUGUACCCACCAGGAGUUUUUAUCACAAGAGAAGCACUAGAAGACAUAAAAUUCAAAAACAUCACGAUUCCAAAAGGAAUGAACCUUCAGAUUCCAAUCUCGUUGCUACAUCAUAGUGUUGAUAUAUGGGGCCCAGACGCGCUCACGUUCAAUCCCCAAAGGUUCAGUAAUGGUAUCCUCAAAGCUUGCAAAAAUCCGCAUGCUUACAUACCGUUCGGGGUCGGGCCUCACAUAUGCGCGGGCCAACAUCUUGCAAUGGUAGAACUGAAAGUGAUUGUGAGCGUUAUUGUGUCAAAAUUUGAAUUCUCUCUCUCACCUUCUUACAAGCAUUCCCCUUACUUCAGCUUGGUUGUGGAGCCUAAAAAUGGAGUCAUUCUCAAUCUAAGGAAGCUUUGAUCUUUCUCUUAAUUUACUUAGGAUAUGAAAAUCUUGUAGAACUUGUGAAAUAAAUUAGUUUAUUAGAUAUUUACAGGACAGCACAAUUUGGGUUUGAACUUAGAUUGUUUUAAUUGUAUUGUCCUUAGUUACAUCACCUUGUUAGGCUAGCCAGGACAAUUUCUUUAAUCCUUAAUUAUAUAUUUAGUUCUUAAAUUGAAUUUUAUUAUAUUUUCAAGUUGCAUUAAUUAAUUGGACUGAUGGCUAAACAAGAAAAGACUUUAAAUAAUAAAGUUGGUUUGGUUGGUAGGAUAGUAGGAUCUAAAUUCUAUAUUCAAUAUCUUGCUUCUUCAACUCAAUUUGGAGUUGAAAACUUUUGGUAGGAUUUAAUUGUUCUCCAGACUCAUUCUAAAUUUCAUUCAUUAAGAUAUAUAUUUUUAAAUAUAAUAAAACGAAUCAAUUUUUUUAAAAAUAUAUACCAGUAAUUAUUAUUAUUUACAAAAUCUAAAAUUUUGCUAUCUUUUUGUGAUUAUUUUAAUUAAUAUGGCCAUUUACAUUGAUUUUCAUUCAUUAAGAUUUCAAACCCUAUGCUAAAACUCGAAGCAAAUAUAAAGAAACCCAACCCAACCAAAAAUUAUGAUUGGUCAAUGAGAUAAAGUAACUGAAAAUGCAAAUGUAAAUCAUUGGACUCAUCAACAUGUAUAUAACAAGUCAAACAUAUUUUCAAAAUAAAUACCGUUAUAUUUACAUUUUUUUUCUUGAUUUUUUCCCAAAAUAUGGAAGGUUAGUGUUAGAGAUCAGCAACCAAACACUUUAAAACUAGUUUUUGGGAGUUGUUUUGGAAAUUUCUUAAGAAAAUGAUAUAAAAGAAUAAUAUAAUUUUGGGAUUGAGGCCUUUUUUAUUACCUACAUGUGCAUGAAUUAUUUACCAUAAAAAAUACAAACAAAAUUUUGAUGUCGAUCUCAACUGAGAACAAUUAGAAGAAGCACUACUACAAUUUUAAAAAAAAUGCUAUUUUCAAAAGGGAAAACUUAAAUAGGUUAUUUUAGACAAUUUUCCAAUAGAGUUAUACGUAAUCCAUCUUUUCAAAAAUUUUGUUUAAUUUUUGACAGUGUAAUUUUUAAACUUUAGAAAGAUAAAAAAAAAAAAUCAUCUAGCAAAGUUUUCACUUAAAAACCUAAAAGAAUCUAUAGUUUGGAUAUAAGUUAGAAAAAAAAACUUAUUAUAUAAAUUUCAGUGGUCAAAUCGGUUGAAGACGAAAAAAACUAUUAUAAUAAGUUUUUAGAAAAAAUAUUAGUUUUAGAAAGUGAAACUUAGAAAAUGUUAUUUCUGACAAUUUUCAAAUAUCAUAGUUAUCGAAUCAAAUUUUAAUAUUGGAUUUUAAUUUUUGAGGUGUGUUUAUUUUCUCACAUAUUUUUCUUGUGAUUUUCAUGCAUUUUCUGUGCAUGUAUUUGAAUUCUUAACUAAAUAUUUAAAACGACAAAAACAAGUUUCGUAAAACUAUUUUUUUUUCUAAUUUUUAAAUUUUGGCUUUAUAUAGAAAUUUGCAAAUUGUAAUAGUGUUGAUGUGCUUAAUUUUAAAAGAAUAAAAAAAAUCAAGUGAAUAGAUAAUGAAGCCUAAAGAGUUAAAUGCAAUUCUUUAAAACCUAUUUUUGUUUGUUUAUUUUUUUAUAAAAAAAAAGUUGUCUAAACUUAAAAGGAAAAUAAAUUAGAGCUAAUUGUUGUUGAAAUCUAUGAAUUCCAAAAAAGUAAUUAAAUUAAUCAAUGGUUAAUGGUUAAUGGUUAUUUGUGCAUCAGUCAAACUUAUUUUUGAGCAAAAUUAUAUCAUAUUAAAAUUAUUUUUACAUAGAUCUUUACAUCCUUGUCUGUUAUAACUACUGCACAAAUUAACCAAAACUGAAUCUAAAACGUAAAAAUUUGUUACAUAUAUUUAAGUUUAAGGUCUAUCAAAAUUGAUUUUCUCCACUCAUUUUUUUCUUAUACUAUACUUUCGAAAUAUUUUUUAAUUAACGUUGAUCAUGAUUUUUUUUUUCUUUACACAGAAAAGUAGAUUUCAUGAAUUUGAUUUUGAAAAUAUAAACUAGAGUCCUACCAUUUUCCACUAUGUUUAUCAUUUAAUUGCAUGAUCGAUUUUCAAAGUACAAUAAAUAGUAAACCCCAGUGGCCAUACUCACAACUAAGCUUUAAAAGGAAAUUAAUUAGAGACUAGCGGAUGAUUCUGGUCAAUGAUUAAUUAAAGGCUCUAAAGGUUAGUUUUGGAAGAAUAAUUCAAAAAUGGUAGCAUGAGCUUUGACUCAACCCUAUCCGGCCCAUUGUGUUUGAUGUCAUGAUGAUAAGCUAGACAUGCAUACCAAAAAUCGGAUCAAUUUUGGAAAGAUGUAGACGAAAGGCCUAAAUUAACUAUCAUUUUUCACAAAUGUCUUAAAAAUAUAAUUUAUUUUCUUAAUUAGGAAUUUCUAUCCUUUUUUUUGUGACAAUAUUAACCUUUUAAUCAUUAUUAAUUAUAUAUUAUAUUCGUAAUUAUAUUUAAAUUACUUCUUUAUUGACGGUAAUUUUCGUAACUUCCUUAUAUAAAUUUGUAUCCUUAUUAUGGUAAAAAAUUGAAAAUAUUGUUUUAAUGAAGUAUAACAUAAAAUCUUUUCUAAUAUGAAAUUUUAUGUUAAUUACUUGUAACGGUUAACAAUCUUUCAUCUCCAUCACGUGAACAAUCUGGAAAAUUUCAUCCGACGUUGACAGUCCCUACAUAUAUAUACCACAUUAUAUAUACAAUAUGACAUAUAUAAUUAUAUACAGUAAUAAGUUUGGAUUUAUAUAUGUUAUUUAGUAUAUAUACCUCAUAUUAUAUGCAAUAAUAUUUUAUACAUAAUUUCUACCGAAUUUGUGUUUAAAUUAUUUGUUUAUAUUGUAAAUAUUACUAAAACAGUAGUAAAUGAUAUGAUUAUACAUACAUAUUUUUCCUUUAUAAAUGUAUUUGAUUACAUUAUUAUACUUUAAUAUAUCCACAAUCUAUAAUAGUACUGUUUUGUGUUUUAGUAUAUAUAUACCUCAUAUUAUAUACAAUAAUACUAUAUACUGACAUAUAGUUCUAUUAUUUUUUGAUAGGAUGGCCAAAAUGUAGUUCUUCUUCACCGAAUUCUCAAUAAACUCUAGAAUGUAUCACAUUCAAAACUUAAUUUUCGUUUGUUUGCCUAUUUAAUUGAAUAUCUAAAAUAUACCUAUACAUCAAAUGUUUCAUAUGUUUUGAAUAUAUACAAUACUAAGCUCAAAAUUUCUAGCCAGAUCUGUCGGAUAGGUUUUGUAUUUGCCAACCGUUGAAGGUUUCCUUCUUCACCGUCGAAAUCUCAAUAAACUCUAAAAUGUAUCACAUUCAAAACUACAUUUUCAUUUGAUUUUCUAUUUAAUUGAAUAUCUAAAAUAUACCUAAUAUAUCUAAUGUUUCAUCAUAUGUGUUGAAUAUAUACAAUACUAACCUCGAAAUUUCUAAUUACUAGAUUAUGUUCGAGAAGUUUGUAUUUGUCGGCCAUCGAAUUCUUCACCUUUGAACUCUCUAAAAUUUUGAAGUAAAAACCAUAAUCCACGUUGGAAGGACUACAUGGUGGAUUGAAGCUGACUAAUGCAUAAAAGACGUGUAUUGUGCUUAGCAUCCAUAGCAACAAGAAAUGAAUCAGGAAAUUCUUGGAUGUUGUUGAUGAAAAGGACAUCAUGAUAGUCCAAACACGAGAUGAUGAGUCUUGACGUAGGGAAUGAUUUAUGUUCUUGGCGAAAGAAUUGUUUGAGACUAAUGUGUGUUUACACUAUAUGAUUUGAAAUGUUGAUGCUUAUGAGAUGUAUUAUGAAAAGGUUUUCUAAGAACUUUCUCACUAAGUCUUUUGACUUAUGUUUUAGGCUUUCAGUUCUCAUGUAUUUAGGCAUUGAGGCUAAAGUAAGGUUAAAGGGUGAGAAGUUGCUGGGUGAGAAGAGGAUGUCAGGCGUUUAGUUUAAGUUUUAGUAUUAUUUUCUUGUAUCAUGUAAAGUGUUGUAAAAUGCAUAGUAUAAAGUUAAUAAAAGAAAUUAUUUAUCUUAUUCUUUUGUGUUAAGUUGCAUUACAUCGCAAGUGUAAGUUUAAGUUUGUGAAGUCAUCAAGCAAAGAAUAUGUACCUAGGUGAGCGUUCUUGCAUUUUAUUUUAGAAGCACCAGAAUUACUCUAAGUCGCAUCGCAUUUUGCAUGACAAGUGAUGACGCGUGCGGGGCGGGGUGUGACAAUGUCUCUACUUUUAUGUGUCUAUAUGAACGAUUCAAAAUCACAUCAUUUGUACUAAAUACAAAGUAGGUCGUAUCCGUGAUGUUUCCAUAAUAAAGGUGACCAACCAGCAUAUUCAUAUAUUAUAGACCCUUUACGUUAUGUAUUUGAACUUGAUGCAUUUUUGUAUCUUUGCAUAAAGUUCAAGUUUACUCAAGAUAGCCUUGAAACCUUAGUUUAUUAAAUUCAAGACGAUAAUAUUCAAUUUCACUAAUAAUUCUUCGAUAAUAACUUAAUUUAAUAGAAUAUGAUUCUAAACUACAAACUAUAAAUUUUAAGACAUAAAUUCCAACAAACAAGUUUCUCUAAAUUUUUUUUCCGAUAGAUCCCGUUGAACAUGCAUGUGUUAGAUUUUAGACCGUUGAAUUUUGCUUUUUUUUUUAAAUUUAAAUGCUUAACUAGUUUUUUAAUUUGGCUAAUUUAUAGAAAAGUGGAAAUUUCACGUAUGGAAAAAAAACCAAACUAUUUAGGGAAGCAGCCUUUCUCAAAUAAAAAAUUUAAUUAAAGUAUUGUGAUUGGUAUGCUGAAAUGAAUAGAAAUAUUUUUGAAAGCAAUAAAAUAUGUGUUCUUUUCUAAAGAAACAAAUGAUCAAUUAAAUAGAAUACUACACAAUAAAUAAUAUAAAUAAUUAAAUUGAUGUUAAAGUUCAACCGUUAGUUCAUUUAAAUUGUAUUAUUAAAAUCUUGUGUUGAUGAUUGAUCUCAAGGUAUAAUUAAAUAAUAUUUAACUAUUAAAAGUACAACUUAUUAUUUUAUUGUUUACUUAUUAAUUAACUUUUUUUUUUUUUUUUGUUCAUUUUUUAAUAAAAGAGAUUCCAAAAUUUCAUGCUCACGCAUGAGAAUCUUUUUAGGCUUAGAAUACAUACGUCUCCCGAAUCAGUAGUAGUAUAUGUAUGUGUUUUGAAGUACAUUGAUACUUUGUUUGAGUUGGAAAGAUUUAAUUAAAACCUUGAAUUAAAAUUCGAAGUUAAGGUAUCUUUUGAUUUUCUUAACCUAAAUAAUUUUCUUUUCUGGUGGCUAUUUUAAAUGCUUUAAUUUUAUUCAAUCAUUUUAGAGAUUUUUUCAAGAAUAAUAUAAUUUAUUUACACUUCGACAAAAAACAACUCUGGAACAAAAACUUAUAUAUAUAUUUUUAUUGUUGCCUUUUGUUUUCUUUUUGGAUGUAGACAUGCAUUGUUAUGAUUUUUUUUUUCUUUUUUUAGAAAAGAGAGUUUAGGUUUAUUUUGGAUGAAGCUUUUUAAUAUUUUUUAGCAAUCAUUUCAUAAAUUUGUGUAUGGCUUUUCUAAUGAGUGGAGUGUAUACAUGAAUGUAAUUGGCAUAAAAAGAGUAAGUAGGGAAGUGAACAGAGCUUUUUUUUAUGGUAUUUUAUGCAUAUAUAUCGGUGUUGAUAAAAGUCUCAACUGGAUAAGGGGAUGAUGUGUUCAAGGAAAACAACUAUCAUCAAUCCUACAAAGCCUUUUAGGUGAAACAAAAAAUAAAAUCACGAGGGUAUAAACUACCAUAUGAAGAAUUCUUGAUAUCUUCAUUAGAGGUUUCAUUGUAUACGGGAUAAGAGAAUUAAAGAAGAUCUUGAAGAUUUGAUAAAGUCUUUAAAUUUUGAAGCUUCACGCAAGUUUUAGUGUGUGAAUUAUUGGAUGUUUAUUCGAAGAAAUUUGUGUUGCUGAAGAAGGUUGUCAAAGGUACUUUAGUUACCUUUUGGGUUAUGUCGAAUUAUUGAAGAUUGAUUAGCGGUCUUAGUAUCAGUUGAUAAGAAAUAUGAAAGAAACUGAAAUAGUUGAACUACGGUUAAUGAAUUCAAGAUGAGCUUUAGUUUAUCUUCAAGUAGAUUUAAACAUAAACUCAGAAGAAGUCUGUUUUUUAUUAUGUUUCUUUUAUAACUUAAAAGUAUUGUUGAUUUCUCAUUUGAAUCCUUAAUAAUAUUUCUUAUUGGAGCAGAGAAGCUCUCCAGACGUAGGGGUAUUCGACGAACUAGGUUAACAAACAAAGUCUUUUAUGUUAUUUGUUCUCUGUUAACAACUUUCAAUAUAGCUAAAGAAUAUUAUUAAUCGUCUCACUUAUUUUCAACAACAAACACAAAAUAUAUAUUAUCAUUUAAAUUUGAACUUAAUAUAUUUUUUAAAAAUAUUUAAUCGAUAUAGCCAGAGAUAAGUUGUAAUUUAAAUUGAUAUUAAUUUUAUUAUAUUAAGGUUUUCAAAAGGGAAAAUUAACAAACUAUUUACAUUCAAUUAUAAAUAUUUUGUCAAAUGUUUAGUUUUUUUACAAUUUUCUUUAUUUUUCAUAGCAAACUAUUUUUGAAUUCGUUAAAAUUUAUCGUGUAAAUCAAUUUUCUUUUUUACUCUACGACAUUUUUUCAGUUUGAGCAAAAAUUGUAUGGAAGUGUCCUUGAAUAGAACUUGGCCCUACUAGAGGAAACAUUAAUAUUGAAUAUGCAUCCCGAUAUAGGAAGGGCCCUAGUACUAGAGGUUUAGAAUUAGCAUACCUCUUCCUAAUAGUGUAUUGAAAAAAUCAUAUAUAUAAAUCGUAAAGAAAAUACAAAGUUUAAAUUUAAAUAAGUAAAAUUUUGUCUAGGAAUAAAAUAUAAAUUACUAUCGAAAAUGUAUAGAUCUUAAUUUUACAAAAAUCACUAUAGAUAAAAUGUGUAUGUUAAUACAUAUUUCUAAAAAAAAAAAAAAUUAUAGGCACAAAAGAAUUUUAAAAAAAUAAAUUUGUAAAUAAAUGCUAAAUGAAUUUUAAAAUAAUUAAAAUAUUUAUUGCUUAUAUUGUAUUUAGUAAUAUUUUAUUGUUUAUAUAACGAAAAUGUUAAUUCAAUGAUGAAUCUAUAAAAAUAUGGAAGUAUGAAAGAAAAUAUUGAUAUACUGAUGGUUUUUAGAAGAUAGAUGAUUCCAAGCUUGUAUACAAAAGUUGACAAACCUUACCUAACCAAGGUGGAUGUUCAAUCUUUUAAUUUUGAUAUAAAUAAAUAAAAUAUUAUUUAUUAACUAGAGGUUUUUUUUUUAUAAAGAUACAUUUUAAAUAACAAAACUUUUGAAAAUUUUAAAAAGAUCUAUUUAUACUCCAAAAAUAUUGCAACUAUUUACAAACUAAAAAAUUCAUAUCUCUACAGCCAUUUGAAAAAAAAAUUGCUAUUGUGACAAAUCUCUAUAUAAAAAAUUAAUAAUAAAAAAAUUAAGAAUCUUUUAAUCCAAAAUAAAAUAAAGAAUACUUGCCGCGCUCAUUGACCUUCAAUUAAAACAGCGUAAGCUGUGAGAAACAAAAAUUGUGCUCACCGAAGCUUCAUUCAAUAAGAAAUCAUAAGCCGAAUUCCUAAAAUCCUCUCGUUCUUCUCGAUUUUCCACCGCCAUUUUCCAUGGAUUUCCCUAAGGUUUCCGCUGGAAAUUAUGUGAUUCCAUCUCUUCUCUUCGCCGGAAUUCUCUUAUUUUGCAUUACUGCUUCCUCUGUUUUGAGUCCUUUCCCUUUUCUCUCCAACGGACGCCAAUGCAGCAGCACGAAGCUUCCUAAUCAGGUCUCAAUCCUGCAAUCGCAUUCUCUGUAUCUAUUUUUUUUAAUUCAUCGUGAAAUCCUUUUGGACUAAUUUUAACAGCGUAAUCUUAGUGAUUUUGACUCUGUUUUGCCUCGCUACUCGUGAUUCGUGAAGUCACCUAUCAUUUUCGUGUUUUCUGCAAUUUAGAUUAGAUUGUGUGAAUUGGUUCUGGAUUAACUGCUUUGGAACAUCAUUUGUGAUUUCAUUCCUUCUUUGUCAUUUCUUGUGUAAUUUAGAUUUCUUUGAAUUGGUUCCGGAUUAACUCUUGCUGAACAGUAAUUGUGAUUCAUUUAUUGCUGAACAUGACUAGUGAUCUCAUUCAGUCUUGAUCAUUUUUGUGCAAUUUCAAAUCGGUUAUGUGAAUUUGCUGAACAUGACAAGUGAUUUGAUUCUGUCUUUAUUAUUUUUGUGCAAUUUUGAAUCGAUUUCUAUGAAUUGGUUUUGGAUUACUUGUUGCUGAACAUUACUAGUUGUCUGGUCCUGUCUUUUUCAUUUUUGUGUAAUUGCGAAUUAAUUGUGCGAAUUCACUAUCGAUUUUGUGUAAUUUGACACUGAUUACGAACUCGUUCUGGAUUCAAUUUUUGUAGAAUAGCACCAGCGAUUAUGAUUCUGUUAAACCACGAGACGAGCUUGAAUUGGCUCUAGCCAAAGCGUCAAUGGCGAACAAGACGGUGAUAAUCGCCGUCGUAAACAAGGCGUACGCCAAUCAAGAAACCGGAGCGGUUACGACUAUGCUGGACGUGUUUCUUGAUAGUUUCUGGCUGGGAGAAGGCACACGGCCUUUGGUAAAACACAUCCUUCUCGUCACCGUGGAUCAAACGGCGUACGACCGGUGCCAGUUCCUUCAUCUGAACUGCUUCCGGCUGGUAACGGAUGGCGUCGAUUUCGGCGGCGAGAAGCUUUACAUGUCGGAGGAUUUCAUCAAGAUGAUGUGGAGAAGGACUCAGUUUCUCUUGGAAGUCCUCAAACGGGGAUACAACUUCAUCUUCACGGUACGUUCUCUUAUUUCGAGCAUAAUUUUAUAUAUUUCUUUCUUUCUCCAAUCAAUCAUUUUUCGAAAAAAAUAAUUUCAUUUUCAACUGCAUCAAUUUUAUUUAAUCAACAUCUAAUGCCGAUAAAUCUUAGUAACUUACGCUUUCAAGUUUAACCCUACUAAUUAAGAAUUCUUUGAAAAGUUGAAAUAUGACUCCUUUGGAGAUGCGGAAAAAAUAUAGAUUUACAAAACUCAUUCUAUCAUUCUCUUAAUAACCACUUUCUUUUCAAUUGGAAUUGAAAUUUAUAAACUAAGAAAAUAAAUAAAUAAAUUAUUUGAAAAGGUACGUGACGCUACUUUCAAAAUCUAUAAAAUAUUUUAGUUCAUUAGUCAAACUUAUUUUUUUGAUUGAAAUUAUUGAGUUUGUAAACAUGUUUUAGGUUGAAAUUAGUAGAGAAUUAAUCCAAAGUUAAAGUUCUAAUUAGUUUUAGGGUUCAAUUUAUGAAAUGGAAAUUUUGAGGUAUAAGUUGAUCUCUUUUACUCAUUUACUCUAACUAAAUUGCUUAAACUAUUACUUUGAUAAAUUUUGUAGAAGAAGAUUUUCUUUGGUGUGACCUCAACCAACUAACUUGAUUUACGAAGGAAAUUUAUGAAAUCCAAAUAUUAUAACUAAGAAUAAUAAAAUUAAGAAAAUAUCUUCAAUGAAAUCUAAACAGAAAAAGAAAUAUCAAAAUUUAACCAUUACUAUUUUAUAUAUAUAUAAAAAAAGAGUAUUACUGUGAUUAUGUUUAUUUGAUUACGUAGGGUGUUGAUUCAAUUUGUAUUCGUUAUCUAACGAAUGAAACUAAUAUAAACUUUUGUAAUUAAGGAAAAAAGUAUUAACUUAGUUUAGAAUUAUUUUCACCCCUCAAAUUCUGUUAAAAUGUUUCACUCAUAUUAAUGCUGGGAAUAGUUCAUAAUGACGGCUUUAUUAUAUUUAGGGCAACAAUUAGGUUUGACUUAGUUUUUACCUAAUUUUAUUCUCUUAAUUUUGUAAACACACAGAAAACAACAAACAAAAUUGCUACACAACAGUUUUUUACUGAACAAGUUCUUGAACGAAAUAGAGAUAGAUGUUGCCUUGGAUCAUCCAAGUUUCUUUUUUUUAAAAAAAAAAUUAUUGUAUUUAAGCAUGCACUAUUUUUAACUUUUAUUUAUUUAUUUCAUAUCUUGCACCCUUUUUUAACCUUUAGCAAUUGAUUUACCUCUUUUUAUGUAUAAAAAUUGAUUUUUCUUUUUUUUUUAGGAAAUUGAUUUAACUAUUUGAUUUAUGCUUCCAAUAGAAAUAUUCUUAUAUGUCGAGCUUUAAAAGAAGAUUCCUAGAUACAAAACAAUUAAUAAAGAGAUGGUCAAAGGCUUUUUAUAUAAAUCUAAAAUAUUUAAAUGCUAUUUGAUCCAUGUGGAUUACUGUUUAGUAUUUGAAUGUUGUUGGUGUUCUUCAUAUAAUUACAUCGUACAACUAGUCUAAAAUAAACACCAGGAAGACCCUCUAGUUCAUCUGUCAAUUAUUAAAGAAAAAAAAAAAGCGUAUAUUCAACUCUCUAGUUCAUCUGUCAAUUGAAAAUUUCUGAACAAUAUGGCUGGCUAGCUGUUUUGAAUUGUUAAAUGUAUGGUAGGGAAACUCAAAAACAAAUGAAAACCCUCAAUUCAUACCAUGUGCUAUUUGGCAACCAUGGAUUUUUUAAUAUAAUUCCAUUGCAUCAUCAAUAAUUUUGAUUGAAUUACACAUUUAAAAACUUUUGAAGAUUCAAAAUUAUACCAUGUUGAAAUUUUAUUUAUUUCUUUAUUUUUAAAUUCAGGAAUCUAUUAUAGAUUAAACAAAAAAAAUAUGUAAUUUCAUUGAAAAUAAAAUCUAAAUUUAUAUCUAAUUGAACAAUCAAGUUUUUUAAAUUAAAUUUUAUCAAAAUUUAUUAGAAACAACUUUGAAAGUUUUGAAAAUUUAGAGUUAAUUGAACACCAUUUGCAUUUUUUUUAUUUAAUUUGGAAUAUGAACAUUUUUAAAAUAAUAAAUUAUUAAAACUAUUUACCAGAUCUAGUGAAAUUAAUCAAUAUCUCUUUUAAUAUAUAUUUUUUUAUUAUCCAUAAUAAUCUCCAUUUGAAAUGUGUGUUUGUUCCAAUUUAUACUAUACAAAUACCCUCCAAAAUUGAAAAAGGAAAAACAAGUUUUUAGAAUUUAGUGUAUUUGAAAACGCUUCCAAACAAUAGCAAUGAUAAAAUUGGUAUCUGUGAACUUAAUUAAAAAUAAAUAAAAAAUCAAUGAGAAACUCAUUGGACAGAGAUCACAAUUGUUAUUAUUAUUAUUAUUAUUUUGGGAGAAUGGCCCAAUGAUAUCUUAACAUCUAGAGCGAUCAAAACUUAAAAAGUCUACAUAUACACAAUGAACAAGAUUUGACUUUUAAAAUCUUAAAUUUAUUUACUAAAUAAAUGGUGAAGUUAACAUCAUUCACUAGUUAUGGGUGUCAGUGUGUUAUUAAUUUAUUAGAUGAUUUAUUCCCAGCGAGGGGAAUUUUAUUUUAUAUUAGUAGCUUAUUUGGAUUGUUUUUUAGUAUAAUAAUUAUUGGGGAGAUUCAACCUUUUAGAAGAUGAGAUGCAUAUCUCAAAAUCAAAGCUUAUUUUAGGUAAAAUAUGAAAUGAUUUUUAAUUAGUUUUUAGAUAAACUUAUAAUUCAAUUUAAUCGUUAGACAGAUAGUUUUUUGAAAAAAAAUAAAUUUUCAUCAUCUUUUCCUAUUUAGUUUCUUGAUCACAAUUUAAAUAGCACUUCUUGGUUAACUUCAUGUGUUUUAGUCUUCAUCUUUAAAUUUAUUGCAAUGUUUGCUUUUGUCCCUUGCUAGAGUAAAAGAACGAAAAUUAGUUUCUUUUUUCAUUCAUGAAUGUUAAACUUGGUUUAGAUAAGUUCAUAUUUGAGAAUAUGGUUGGAGAUUUUGAUUUCUAAUAUUGAUUCAUAUAAUAUAAGUAUUUGAAAAUUUACAAUGUUGUAAACACGGUGAUGAUUAGUGUAGUAUUGAAGAAACAAUUAUCGAAUGGAAAUCUCUCGUCUCAUACUUAAAAUUCUAAUUAAGUAUGGAGAAAAUUAAUUCUCGUUAAGGUAGAUGAGAGUUUAUACUCACCCAUCCAAUGGUAGUAGGCGAAGAAUUGAUCCUCACCAUCCAAUAGUAUUAGGUGGAGAUCAAUCCUCACCAUCCAAGGGUGAUAUGUGGAGAUGAAUCUUCGCCUCCCAAUUAAGGAAGAGAGAGUAUAAAUACUCUUUGGAUGUCUCAUUUGGGAGAUAGAUUGGAAAACCAAAUCAAAGUCUCUCUUUCUCAAUGUAAGUGUUCUCCCUUUCUUUGUCUUACUUUCAUAAUUCUUCAUUCACAUUCAAGCAAAAGAAGGCGAGAUCUCGAAAUCAAAAGGAGGGACAAGGAUGAAGACUGGUAGAAGUUUCCCAAAUGAGUAGGCUUAUUUGUCUUAUCGGAUUCUUCGUUAUGAGAGAAUUGAAUCAGUCUUCUUUGAAUUAAUAAAGACAGAAGAAAAAUCUGUUACCGGGGUCACUCAAGGGAAUAAAGGGGUCGGGCGAGUCUAUUCCGCGUAUGAUCUCUUUCUGAAGAGAGAUCUUUAGUACUUUCUCUCUAUUUGUCUUACUUUAAUAAUUAUUGAGGUUAUCAUGGUUAAACUCUUGUUCAGUUCUUUUUAUUCCUAGCUAGAAAGACAUAGGGUGUACUACCAUUGGAUGGUGAGGAUCAAUUCUCCACAAUACUACCAUUGGAUGGUGAGGAUCAAAUCUCCACAAUACUACCAUUGGAUGGUGAGGAUUGAAUUCUGCAUCUACUAACAUUGGAUUGUUUGUUUUCUGUAAGAAACAAAUUUCAUUGACGAGUGAAAUUACAAAAAUUGUCAAAAUUAAAUUAAUGAGGUUACAUAAUUCCAAUUGGUCAAAAGAGAAGAAAGGGUAUAAAAACUAAAGUAAGGUACGCAACUAUACCAACUCUUGGCAUGAAAGAUAAUGAUGUCAAAAUAAUUAUCAAAGGAGGUUCCUUUGUCUUGGAAGGGUUGCUUGUUUUUCUCCUUCCAAGUGAUACAUAAGAAGAAACGAAUCAAAUGCUACCACAUUAGCUGUUUUUGCUGAGUGAAAGGAUGGUUGGAGAAUGCAGAUGUGAGGGCUGCAAUUUUGUGUCCUUGGGGAAGGCAAUGUACCAACCAAAGAAAAGGUGGACUUUCUUCCAAAACCUCUUGACAAAAUUAAAAUGUAAAAAAAGAUGAUUUAUUGAGUUCGGUCCAUUCAUACGGCUGAGGCAACAAUGUGGAGAAAUGGCAUCGUAGGAAUGGUGAAUUUGAAGUUUCUCUGUUAUGCUAAUGGUAGAGUGAUUAAUUUCCUAAAGAAAAACUUAGUUUUUCUUUUAUAGAAAUCAUUUCAAAUAGUAGCAUGGAAGGAUGCUAAGGGGGCAUUUUCAACAAGCCCCAAAUCAUAGGCCAAGGAUCUAGUUGUUAAAUGUCCUUUGGUGCCGAGCUCCAAAAACCAUUUAUCUAUGGUCAAUCAAAGGUGUGUAAUCUGUAGACUGCUCAUAAGAUCAAUUCAAUUGGAUAUCUCAUAAUCCUUUAAGUUUCUUCUGAUGAUGAGAAACCAACCAUGACUAGGUCAUAUAGAUCAUGUAUGCAAGAUCCUUUUUUAUGUUAAAACAUAUGUAAAACAAUAAUUAGCUUAUCUAACUGUUUCAAGAAAACAGUUACUUGUAACUAAUCUUGAAAUGUCAAUAAGUAAACAAUCUCUUGGCCAAGAUAGGCAGACAUUUCAUUUGAGGAAUUAAUUUCAACUUGAAUUACAUCACUUUUUGUGUGUACAAGUUGUAUAAUCCAGGAUAGAGCUCUUUGAGUGCAGAGAUUUUGUUCCACCUCUUAUCUAAAAAAGAAGUGUCCUUUUUUUUAUCGACGACAUUAUAUUGAUUCUGACUUUAUCUUUGAUAAGAGCCACGAAAUCCAACAUGUCUCUCCAAGGACGCCUAGCGUAAUUAGAAAAUGAGUGGUUUGGCUAAAGAGUCAUGAGGGAGCUAUACGCUUCAUAUAUUUAUCAUCAAUCACCUGUUUCCAAAGAGUCCCACCCUUGUUAUAGUAUCAGCAAACCCACCUAGCAAGAAGGACAAUGGUUCUUGUCACUUCUCUUAAUACCAAAGCCACCCUAAGCAUGAGAAUGGAGUAACUUGUCCCAUAUAACAAGGUGGGAACCAUGUUGAGAAAUGCACCCCUCCCAUAGAAAGUUCUUGUGUAGUUUCUCCUAAUUUUAAGCAGACAAUUUGAACAAUGACGUGUAAUAGGUAGGGAGACUAGGGUGGGUGACUUGUAGAAGAGUAAGACAAGUCUUUUUUCCAAAUAUUUUUGAUGACUGGCUUUCAAAAUGAUAUCAGUUUUGGUUUUCCAAAUAAGGGAAGCCUAAGGUAGGUAUUUGGCCAAUGAUGCAAUUUAUAAUUGUAUCUAGUGGCUAUCUGCUUCAAGUUAUCAGUUGAUAAACAAGUGCUAUAAGUUCAGUUUUAUUAAGGUUGGUAUUAAAGCCUGAGACCUUCCCAAAUGACUUAAUGAUGGUGAAAAGGUUAUCAAGAGGAUCUUUACAAUAAUCAGAAAAUAAGAUGGUAUUGUUAGAUCAAUCUGUAGAGAAUUAGUUCUAAGACAAAAAAAAAACCCUUCAUUUGACCACAUGUGGUAGCAUUUAAUGAGCAUCCAUGUGAGACAAUCCAAAGUAAUGAAGAAAAAAAAAGGAUGAUAAAGGAUCCCUAUCCGAGACCUCUUGCAACUUUGAUCUUACCCCUAGGGCGGCCAUUAAUCAAAUCAAGAAAUUAGAGGAAGAAAUACUCUUAUCCACUUACACCAUGUGUCACCAAAGCCCUUUGCUUUUGGGAGAUAAUUAUCAAAUAUCAUAUUAAUCAUCACACAAUGACAAUUAUCAAAUACAUAAAUUAUAUGAAUCAAUAUUAGAAAUCAAAAUUUCUAACUGUUAUCAAUGAGCUGUCAAUAAAGAUUACAAAAUUAGAGAUAAAGUUAUAUCACUCCAAAAUAUAAAAUUAAAAAGAAUUUUUAAUUUCGAAAUUAGAUUUAAGUACUAUUAUGAUCGAUAUACAUUUAUAUUUUGCUUAUUUUAAUAAUUGUACUUCUAAAGUAUUCGUCAACACUUUUUGUUUAUAAAAUUUAGACAAAAAUGCAUAAUAAAAUCUCUGUAAGACAAAUUUAUGAUUACAUUCUAAGAAAUUUAAUGAGAAUUGUGAUUGGAAAAGUUAAGAGAAAACAAAAAAAAUGAGAUAACGGAACAGGUUACUCUAAAUUAAAAUCAAAGUAUGGGAGGGAAAAAGGAUGAAGUUUUCUGUUAUAUGUGACCAACCUAUUUCAAAUCACCAAUAUUUCUGGAUGAAUUUAGCCCAUUUUCUCUCUUGAUGGCCCAAUUAGUAACAAGGCCUAAUAAUGAAGGUCCAUUAUAUAAAGAAGCCCAAUUAAUCAGUUUUAUGAUUGAUUUCCUUGUUUCACAGGACACAGACGUAAUGUGGCUUCGUAACCCCUUCACGAAGCUGAGUCCCAACAAAACAGAGGAUCUCCAAAUCAGCACCGACGGUUUCUCUGGCAACCCAUUUGGGGAGGAGAAUUUCAUAAACACCGGAUUCUACUUUGUCCGAUCAAACAACAAAACCAUUUCCCUCUUCCAAAACUGGUAUGAUCUGAAAGACAAUUCCACAGGUAAGAAAGAGCAAGAUGUUCUUCUAGAGCUCAUCCAUGGCGGCAUCAUAGGGAAACUUGGCCUCAGAGUCCGAUUCCUCGACACCCUUUACUUCAGCGGUUUCUGUCAGGAAAGUCGGGAUCCGAGGGAAGUGACGACGGUUCAUGCAAAUUGCUGCCGGAGCAUCGUCGCGAAGGUCGGCGAUCUCCGGGCGGUGCUUUAUGACUGGAAGAAGUUUAGGGAGAUGAGUUCUCAUAAGGGGUUGGCGAAUGCGACGGCGGAGUUUAAGUGGUCGCCGCAUUCGGGGUGUUUGAAUUCAUGGAGUAACUAAUAUACAAGUUUGGUUGAAACGUCCAACAUCCUCCCCGUCGGUAACCCUUUCAUUUUUAAUAUUUUGGUUUUUAAAAAUAAAUUUCCUCUUUUUUCUCCUUCAAAUCAUGGUUAGCAUAUAAUUUUCAAACUUUGCUUUUAUUUUUAAAAAUAUUAGUAGAUGAUGGAUAGUAAUGCAAGAGCUUUAGUUUAGUUUUCAAAAAUUUAAAUUAAAAAAAAAAAAAAAACCUAAUUAGUCUAUAAAAAUCACCUACAUAUUUUGUUGUUUUAAUUUUAGAGUUGUUUUUAAAGUUGAGGUCAAAUUAAGAAAUUAAAAAAGAAAAAAAAAAGGUAGUUUUGAAAAUGCAGUUUUUACUUUUGAAAUUGUUUAAUAUAAAAACCAUGAAUAAGAAGAUGUGAGAAAAUAAGUUUAAUUUAAAAACCAAAAACAAAAAUUGAAAGGAUUACCGAUAAGUUUUAGUUGGUUUGAUUUUGGUAGGGUUGCAUAUAGAGUUUAGUGGGUCUUUUUCUUCUCUUCUUUUAUAGUUUAAGUGGUGGUGGGAGUAUGAGGGUUCGACCUCCAACCUUGACAUGAUGUAGAUGUCAAUUUUAAUGUUAUGCUCAAUCUAACCAAUAACUUAAAUUAAAUAAAAUAUAUUUAUAUUUCAAUCUUGCCUAGUGAUGCAUCACUCCCACGGAUUUAUUAAGAGAUCAGGGAUUCACGUCACAUUUUCAAUUUUUGUAUUUUAAUAUUAAUUUUGUAGUGUUAGAUUAUAAUAUAUAUUAAAUAAUAUUACUAAAUCAUGUCUCUGGUAUUGUGGUUGUGUCCCUUUUAAAGCCUCAAGGUCCUUGAUUUGAAUCUUGUCUACUACAUCUACAUAUGAUUUUUGGAUCGGCUUAUUCAUCAAUCUCACGCAACUGUUUACGCUCAACAAAAGUAUACUUCUAAAAUUAAAAAGUAUCAAAUUAGUACACAUUUGUGUAUACGUGGUCUCCAAACCUUUUUUUUUUAAAAAAAAAAUGCCUUAGUUUAUGAAUUUUAAUUUUAAUUGUGUACAUAAACUUGAUUCUCUAUGGGUAGUACUAAAAAUUUGAUGACUCUUUUUCAUUAGAAAAAAAAGUCGACUUUCUUUCUAAUUAAUUUGUACAACAAAUGAAGGGGUAGAAAUUCCAACUUCCAAUUUUAGAAAAAAAGUACUCAUAAUGUUAAUUGCUAACACAUGUUCUUUUUAUUUCUCAACAAAAUUUAGUCACAUCUACUUUUAUAAAAGUAAUUCUCUUAUUAAAAAAGGUAUAGAGUAGGGAAUAAGUUUUUAACAAAAUCACCCAAAAAAAUAAUUAAUGAAUAAUUUUGAUUAUAGUAUUAUCAUGAUAGAAUUAAUCACAUGUCAUAUUUACAUAAAAUAUCUAAUAAAUGCAAAUUUUAAUUCCAUGUGAUGUUUCACUUUCCUUAUUUCAUUUUUCUAUUUUUUUAGUAUAUUAUUAAUAAUAAGGAUCGUUAAUUUGGUCUUUUCAACUCUAUAUUUGUAUAACAUUAAGGUCCAUUGAACAUUUAUGAAAAAUUUGACAACAUUAUGUCUAACUUGUAAUAAGACACCUAUUUAAGAUCUCUAUUUUAAUAAUAUUAAAAAUUUGAGUCACGUUAGAUCAAUCCAAAAUUUAAAAAAUGUAAUGAACCCUAACUCGACCCAAAAAAAUCAUUAAAAAUUCAAAGUUGAGAAUGAAAAUUAAUCCAACACAAACAUUACAAAUUGGGGAUGGAUGAUCCGAAUUGUUUAGGCGCUAUAAAAGGAGCACUACAAUUAAGACCAAAGAUUAUAAAUAAAUGAAUGUGUUAAUUUUGUAAAAUUCGAAAUAUUUUCAAAUACAUUACCAUUUUGCUAUAACUGUUUUCCUAUUUAAAACACUUUCUCUUUUAAAUUUAUUGAAAUGUUCAUAAAUAAGUAUAGUUUAUUUUCUUUUCUCUUUUCUCCUUUUUUUUUUUUUUUUUUUCUCUUUUGGAUUUUUCUUUCCAUCCACAAAAAACAGAUCCUAUUCUUCUAAUGGUUUUAUAGAGAAAAAGAAAAGAAAAAAGGAGUGAUUAUGAAACAAACACGUAAACAAAUAAACUCAAAAUUAAGGCAAAGAAAGAGAAGGAACAAAAUAUCCAUAAAUUAAGGGGACAGGCAGAGAGCACCGUUUCAUAAAGACCAAAUUAAAUUAAAAGGCUUUUUCAUUCUCAUUUCUUUCUCACCGAUAAAAACGAUGACAUAGAUUUAGCAAAAAAAUUAACAAUAAAACUAAAAACAAUAACAAAGUAAUAUUUUUCACGCAACCAAAUCUUACCUUCCUUAUUUGGUCUUUCUUCAACAUUCAGACCCUUUUCCCCUUCCUUCAAACCACUAACCCCCAAACACAUUAAGAAACACACACAAGACCUCUUGAAAACUUUUCCUAACCAUAAUCACUAAGUUGUGAAAAUCAAGGCUCCACAAUUCUCCUCUCAGUACCUGUAGUGAGCAGGCUUGUAUGGUCCCUCAACUGGCAC
Molecule: long non-coding RNA, 31454 nt
Filed under: Cucumis sativus (cucumber)
Lineage: Eukaryota; Viridiplantae; Streptophyta; Magnoliopsida; Cucurbitales; Cucurbitaceae
Description: long non-coding RNA (CSAT_LNC000602)
Source: RNAcentral